UAAUAAGUGUUUUAUGGCACUUUUUAAGUCCAUAUCCACCUUGUGUGCAAUGUCAGUCGAUCUUCUUCAUGGAGAUCGACCAAACAUCAACCUUUAUCUUUUAACUCUUUGUCUGAAAAAUAUUAUGAACUAAACAAUUCAAAAUA
Molecule: unclassified non-coding RNA, 146 nt
Filed under: soil metagenome
Description: partial internal transcribed spacer 1
Source: RNAcentral